AGUGAACGCUGGCGGUAUGCCUAACACAUGCAAGUCGCACGGGAGCACAGUAAGAUCUUCCUCGUACGGGUGGCGAUUGGGGGAGGGGGUAGGAAGACAUCGGAAUCUACUUUUUCGUGGGGGGUAACGUAGGGAAACUUACCCUAAUACCGCAUACGACCUACGGGUGAAAGCAGGGGAUCUUCGGACCUUGCGCGAGUGAAUGUGCCGACGUCGGAUUAGUUAGUUGGCGGGGUAAAGGCCCACCAAGGCGACGAACCGUAGCUGGUCUGAGAGGAGGAUCAGGCAGCCUGGAAGUGAGACACGGUACAGACUCCGACGGGAGGACGCAGUGGGGAAUCUUGGAGAAUGGAGGAGAGGCUGAUACAGCAAUACCGCGUGGAUGAAGAAGGACUUAGGGUUGUAGAGCGAAUUUGUUGGGAAAGAAAAGCAGCCGGUUAAGCGCGCGCUGUUAUGACGGUACCCGAAGAAUAAGCCCCGGCUAACUUCGUG
This 492-nucleotide ribosomal RNA is filed under the name uncultured bacterium. RNAcentral's name for it is "partial 16S ribosomal RNA". It matches the Rfam family "Bacterial small subunit ribosomal RNA", at positions 30 to 507 of the family's 1533-position model. The record is from RNAcentral.